AUGCUGCUCAAGCUUCCUUCAGCUCCUAAUUCUAGGAGCUUGAGAACUAAAGCAAACCACAGACAGCCACAGGCACUCACUACCAGCCCUGACAAAGCAAAUCGCAAAACUCACCUCACAAGGUGGCAGCCAGCAACUCCUGUGGAAGGUCCAGCAGACCAGGAUACCCACAACAGCUGUGGUCCCUCAACUCCCUCCCACCAGCCCAGACUUGAAGCUGCUGAAGGAGCAAAGAGUACCUCUGACACCAUACUUGCAGGUGAUUUUAAACUAGGUAGUUAAAAACUGACUUGUUUAAUUCUGACCUGUAUAUAAUUUUUGUGUAAGCUAGCUAAUACUGAGAGGCUAAAAAUUAAGGAUCAUAUAAAACCUGUACAUAAUUCUAUUACUUCCAUCUGACAAAAUUCAGAUUUUAAUGUGCAUCUUUAUUUAUGUUACUUCACUUUUUAAUUUUUUUAUUUAGAAAAUACCUUCAGCAAAAAAACCAUUAAAGUGAUUUUCAGUCAAAAAAUAUGUGUCGAUUAAACUUUAAGCAAAAUCUCAC
RNAcentral lists this long non-coding RNA (544 nucleotides) under Ovis aries (sheep). RNAcentral's name for it is "lncRNA (ENSOARG00000025613.1)". The record is from RNAcentral. Lineage: Eukaryota; Metazoa; Chordata; Mammalia; Artiodactyla; Bovidae.